Molecule: small nuclear RNA, 122 nt
Filed under: Sorghum bicolor (sorghum)
Lineage: Eukaryota; Viridiplantae; Streptophyta; Magnoliopsida; Poales; Poaceae
Description: snRNA U5
Rfam family: U5 spliceosomal RNA
About the family: U5 RNA is a component of both types of known spliceosome.
Source: Rfam by way of RNAcentral
AGCUGUGUGGUGAGCACAAAGCGAACUAUUCUUUCGCCUUUUACUGAAGAAUACCGUGUGCACGCCAUAAAAAAACAGCCUACUCUAAUUUUUAGAGGGUGCUUUCUCCUUGAUUGAGAAAG